This 4762-nucleotide long non-coding RNA is filed under the name Panax ginseng (ginseng). Its description in RNAcentral is "long non-coding RNA (PGIN_LNC008703)". The record is from RNAcentral. Lineage: Eukaryota; Viridiplantae; Streptophyta; Magnoliopsida; Apiales; Araliaceae.
CUCCAUCCCUUUGGUAUCGAAGGCUCCAACAAUUAUUCUUGGGAUGGACGUAUCCCAUGGCUCACCUGGGCAAUCUGACGUUCCAUCAAUUGCUGCUGUAAUAUACUCUGCUCUUUUUACUUGUCUGCCUCUUUGAAUAGCUUCAACCUCCUGAAAAACCAACUAUUUGCAAGUUUUAGUAAAUAAGAAUUUUGAUUCAUGAAUAUACUGUCAUUCUAUAACAGAGACAUGAAAGAUAAAUCUUAUCACUUACUAUACUGUUCUGCUCUUUUACCGUUGAUUAAAAUAAAUUCACAGGUUGUUAGUUCCCGGCAGUGGCCACUGAUUUCACGUUAUAGGGCAUCGGUUCGUACUCAGUCCCCAAAGGUUGAAAUGGUAGAUUCCUUGUUCAAAAAAGUUUCUGACACUGAAGAUGAUGGAAUAAUGAGGUGGGAUUUCCUUAAGUUUUAAGUAGGUGGUACCAGGUGUUUGUGUGGUUACAUGCAUUUGUGCUGUUCAGAAUUACUUUAUAUAAACCUAUUGAUUUAUAAUAAAAAAACACCUAUUGAUUUAUAAUAAAAUUGAGUUGUUUGAAUUAUUAAUAUUAGAUAAUUUACGCUAUUAGAUAAAAGAAAAGAAGAGAAAGUUCAAAUCCCUAAAGAAUAGAAAUAGAAGGGGGGUGAUAAUAACUUUCCUUCCUUGUGUUUGUGAGUUAAGGUCCUUAAGAGAGAAAGUGGACAUGGAAGGAAUUAAAAUUUUAGUGUUUUUAUUCCAAGGUAGAGUGGGAAUAAAGAAUUUUUGUAUAGAAGUAAAAGAGUUUUCCACCAAAAUCUUCCUAAUUUCUGGUGGAAAGCUUUGGGUAGAAAGUUGGGGUUACUUUCCACCCAUUUUCCUCACUUACUCUCCUUAUAAAAACUUACAAUCAUAACAUUUGGAAGGAAACUUUUAAAACCCUUUCACUUCCUUUAUUGCUCUUUUUGAAACUCACAAACACUUAGGGAUUUAAUGACCGUAACUGAUCCCAGAAAUUUACUCCCAUUAAUUUUUUUAUUUUUUUCCCUCGUGGUCAAUUUUAAAGGUGAUAUUUCUCUUGAAUUUCAGGGAGCUUUUGGUAGACUUCUAUGCGAGUUCAGGGAAGAGGAAGCCUGAUCAGAUAAUCAUAUUCAGGUAUAUAUAUGUAUAUCUGUAUGAUUAUUCAGUUAGUAGCAUGUAUUUCCCUACUCUAUAGAUGGCAUUUGGUCUUUUUGCUAAGAUAAAGACAAAAUUUAAAAACAAUUAAAUACAAUAUUAGCACUUGACUACUUGAUUAGUAGAAGUAUUUUUGCCUUCUCAUGAUUCUUUCUUACCUACUCACGGUAUAUAUAGAGGUAGGGCUUGAGCAGAAGUCAUAUUGUGUAAUUUUGAUGUACGAGCAGUUGAGCAAUUAAAAAUUGGAAGUAAAUAAGGUAGAUUUUGAUAUGAUUAUGUCAAGCCCUUGUUGGCUCUUAACCAGAAAAUAAGAGCGAAACAGAAAUAUUGAUGGAUAGAAUUAGAGAAAACAGAGAGAAAAGGGAGGAAGAAGGAGAAGAACACAGUGAAUACUCACUGUGUUCGUGAAAUAUAGAGAGAAAUGGAGUAGCUGAAAGCUUCACUCAAUUCAUCAUAAAAUUCAUAAUAUCAAACUUGGGGAUUACUCCAGCCAUUACACAUAUAUAUUAUAGCUACUAAAAUGCUGAAAAGUGUAAAUAUUUCUGACCUACAUCGCUCUCUUAUCCUACACACAUGCCAACAACCUCCAUGUGCACACUUCUGCAUACAAAAUAUCUAAGAAUAUACUAACUAUUUUAGUUAUGCCCACUUUACCCUUUCCUUUGCAUUCUUGACAUUCCCUCCUCCUUAAGAACAUUCAUAUCCUGAAUUUGUAUCAAAAAUAGAACAAUUGUAAUCCACGCUACUGUCUCUCCCUGAUUUCCUCCAGGAUCAAAGAUGAAAGAUGAAGCUUUCGAGUUUGCUCAUUAAAAUUUUGCCAUUGCAAGGCCUGUACAUGUUCAAUGAAAAGUUUAUCUUUACUAAUCCCUUCUUGCUUUUUAGUUGUUCCCAUCAAAUUUCAAGGGAUACCCCACAGUUUGAACGAAAGAUUUUGAGGUCAUUUGCACAUCCUUCAGCUUCAUUUUCCAUUUGAAGAGUGACCACUUAUAGCUGCCAAAACCAUUCAUACGAACACUAAUUACCCUCUUGACUUGGCUAGAAACAUCUACUUUUUGCACAUAAUUUGCUUGGAAGGACAUAAUGUAUGAAUGAUUCUGUCCCAAUUUGAAUUUGUUGGAAGCCUUUGCCCUCAAAACUAGUGGAUAAUCUUGCUUUUGUACACCAACUAUUUCAUCUCUUUUAUGCACAAGUAUAAACACUUAUCCCUAGUGGCCUCCAUAUGUCCUUGUUAACAAGGAGCUUUUACUUGAGAUUCUCCAAUCUACUUUGACUCCAAACCUUGCCAACUUGGAGCUCUUACUUAAAAUCAAUUUAAGUUCUUCAUUGUUUCUCAUUUUUUUUACCGUUGGUCUUUCAAUUCCUUGUACAAUUUCAGCAACAACUAGAAAAUUUCUCCAACUAUGACCAGUUUUUAUGGAAAAUGACUUGGUUUCAGGUUGUAGGUCCUCUUUAGGGAGAUUGGUCAAUAUUUAAAUUUCUCAAAGGUUUCAACAGCUGGAAAUUUCCAUUGAAGGUCAUCUCUCAACAAAAAAUGAACUAAAAGCACCCGAACCUUCUCAUUACCAACACUAAAAGUAGCAUCUUGAACAUUUAAAGCAUAGAUAACUACCUUGCCACGGUCAUUCCCUUUGUUGAUAGCAUUCCAAUGAAAUGGCCUAUUGAAGAUCAAAAUAGAUGGUCUUGAUUUCAAGUUGAUCCUUCACGAAGGAGUGCUGGUUUUCAAGGUUAUCUUCUAGGUGAAAAUGUUAAAAGGAACACUUCUGUUUUGUCCCUCCAAGGAUUAGGCUUCACAAACUAUUCCCUUUUGAUAAUAGAUAACUUGUCUUCUACAUCAACAGUUCUCAAGAGUUAGUUAACUUGAUCUCGAUCUCAUUCUUUUUACAAGUAUCAACUUGUAGUUCAUUCGUAUAUAUGGAUAACACCAUAUAUAUAUAUCGGUCAAAUUUUUAACCUUAUGAUUUAAAUAUUCUAUAUUUUAAUAUAUCAAGUUGCACAACAUUAAUGAUAAAGAUUGUUCUUGGCAACAGAGGGACGCAUUCCGGUAAUUUUGACAUCUUACCCGCGUUCAUUAGUGUAACCUCAGUGCUUACAGAACUUCCAAUAUCAUUUAAUACACUCACUUAGACAUAUAUCUUUAUAGAUAUAUCUAUUCAUAACACACUUUACUUGGAACGGAACAACCUUGCGAUGAAUUUGGUUUCUUCAUCGAUGCUAAAUCUCUAUUCUUACAGCACUCACAAUGUUAUUCAAUAUCCUCAUUCAGAUAUAUAGUUCUUUAUCAACAUUGUAUUAAUGUUUUACUAUCUAUCUGAAGUUCAGAGUAUCGGCAUAACAUGAUCAAUCCAUAUUACCAAUAACCCCACUCAGAUUAAUAGAUCUUUAACAGUUUUUAGUUAUAUCAAAUUAAAGACAUAAUACCAUUCUGAUGAUAAUAACAUGAUAUUAUUAAUAUAAUCUUCGAUUACAUAUGACUUUAUUCAAAUACAAGUAAAUAAAACAUGAAAUUUAAUCUGUGCUUCUUCUUUACGUUCAUGAUCUUAUCAUUCUUCUUUAACUGCAAAUAAAGUUUUAAUCGUAAAAAUGAGCACGACGGCUUAGCAAGUCUAACAAAUAACACAUACACAAAUUAUGCUUUCAUAUAAACUUUAACAUACUUUCGACUUAUUUUAUUCCUCAAUUUAAUAUCACAAUUAACUUUUAUUUCAACAAUUUAUAUCACAUUGUCACACAAAGCGUAUAAAUCAGGUUCAUAACUUGUAAACAUAACACAUAACAGUUAUAAUACUUGCCUUUUCACCUUUACCGUUUACGCUAAUUUUGCGUCUCUCGAUCAACCUAUAUCAUUUAUGAGAUCGACAUACAAUUUAGUCACCACAUGACUCUUACUCUAGUUCACCUUAACUAGUAAUUAGCCUUUAAACCUGAACCUAACUUCAUAUUUUUAACUUUUACGAUAAUUGAUUUCAAAACUUGUUUAAUUAAUAACUAAUUCAAAUCAAGUCGGAAUUGGCUCAUCUUUGGAUGGUGACCUAUGUAUAACAUGGUCUAACUACCUCCAUAAGUGGCAUGAACCCCAAAAUUCUCGUGCUCAAAAAGUUCCGAACAACCCUCUUUUUAUUGUUCACUAGCAGAAUAUUUUCAGCAGUACCUUGGCUCAUUAUUUAAUUCAUAAUUAAUUCAUAUUAAUGCAUAUUUGAGUGAUUCUUUCGCCCAUGUCUUUGUAACUCCCCCCUCUACAAUUUUGCUUUGUAUUUCAUAACCAAAUUUCAAACAUAUGAUUUUAUAUAACUUUUACAAUAACAGUUCAGAUUAGGGGUUUUUCAUUUCAUACUUUCAAUCUCUCUAACUAGUUACCACUUGGGUUAAUUAGUUAGUUUUCAUCUUUUAUGACUUAAUAACAUUGUAUUACAUUAUCAUAAUCUUAAACAUGUAAUAUUUCAUGCAUUCUACUCAAGAGCAUAAACUAAAUUUAUAACAACAUACUUUUGAAGUGCUAGCUUUUCGAUACUUGAAAAUACAAGACUUUAGCUUUUUUUUUCCUUCUCUCAAUUAUCAAUAUAACUCCCUCUUAUGAUUACUCUAGCCUCUUUUGCUC